AAGCGUUUAUGACCAGACUUGGGCUUGGUUAAUCAUCUGGGGUUCUCCCCAGUGCACUUUUCCAGUCCAGGCCAGCAUCAGUUUUCCCCGGGGGAUAAAGGCGGCGGGAAUGUGGCUCCUCCGGGAGUGUUAUAGCCCAUUGCAUAAUACCCUGGGGCGGACUGAGGUUCGCGCAUUCGUGCAAGGAUGCUGGCGUAAUGGUCAUCAGCGA
Molecule: ribosomal RNA, 211 nt
Filed under: Fusarium sp.
Lineage: Eukaryota; Fungi; Ascomycota; Sordariomycetes; Hypocreales; Nectriaceae
Description: partial large subunit ribosomal RNA
Source: RNAcentral